RNAcentral lists this ribosomal RNA (442 nucleotides) under uncultured bacterium. RNAcentral's name for it is "partial 16S ribosomal RNA". It matches the Rfam family "Bacterial small subunit ribosomal RNA", at positions 338 to 795 of the family's 1533-position model. The record is from RNAcentral.
CCUACGGGCGGCAGCAGUGGGGAAUAUUGGGCAAUGGGCGCAAGCCUGACCCAGCAACGCCGCGUGAAGGAAGAAGGUCUUCGGGUUGUAAACCUCUUUUAAGAGGGAAGAGCAGAAGACGGUACCUCUUGAAUAAGCCACGGCAAACCACGUGCCAGCAGCCGCGGUAAUACGUAGGUGGCAAGCGUUGUGCGGAUUUACUGGGUGUAAAGGGCGUGUAGCCGGGCUGACAAGUCAGAUGUGAAAUUCCGGGGCUCAACCCCGGACCUGCAUUUGAAACUGUUGGUCUUGAGUAUCGGAGAGGCAGGCGGAAUUCCUAGUGUAGCGGUGAAAUGCGUAGAUAUUAGGAGGAACACCAGUGGCGAAGGCGGCCUGCUGGACGACAACUGACGGUGAGGCGCGAAAGCGUGGGGAGCAAACAGGAUUAGAUACCCCAGUAGUC